Molecule: non-coding RNA, 97 nt
Organism: Friedmanniomyces endolithicus
Lineage: Eukaryota; Fungi; Ascomycota; Dothideomycetes; Mycosphaerellales; Teratosphaeriaceae
Source: the annotation of a GenBank genome assembly
GGGCGCGUGUUCUCAGUGGUUAAGAUACAUCGGUGAAUCCGAUCAGCAUCCAGCUGUCAGGUGCGGUGUGACGCCGGUUCGAUUCCGGCCUCGUCCA